Molecule: ribosomal RNA, 492 nt
Filed under: uncultured bacterium
Lineage: Bacteria
Description: partial 16S ribosomal RNA
Rfam family: Bacterial small subunit ribosomal RNA
Source: RNAcentral
AGUGAACGCUGGCGGUAGGCCUAACACAUGCAAGUCGAACGGCAGCACAGUAAGAGCUUGCUCUUACGGGUGGCGAGUGGCGGACGGGUGAGGAAUACAUCGGAAUCUACUUUUUCGUGGGGGAUAACGUAGGUAAACUUACGCUAAUACCGCAUACGACCUACGGGUGAAAGCAGGGGAUCUUCGGACCUUGCGCGAUUGAAUGAGCCGAUGUCGGAUUAGCUAGUUGGCGGGGUAAAGGCCCACCAAGGCGACGAUCCGUAGCUGGUCUGAGAGGAUGAUCAGCCACACGGGAGCUGAGCCACGGUCCAGACUCCUGCGGGAGGCAGCAGUGGGGAAUAUUGGACAAUGGGGGCAAGCCUGAUCCAGCCGUACCGCGUGGGUGAAGAAGGCCUUCGGGUUGUAAAGCCCUUUUGUUGGGAAAGAAAAGCAGCAGGUUAAUACCCCGCUGUUCUGACGGUACCCAAAGAAUAAGCACCGGCUAACUUCGUG